AGUGAACGCUGGCGGUAGGCCUAACACAUGCAAGUCGAACGGCAGCACAGUAAGAGCUUGCUCUUACGGGUGGCGAGUGGCGGACGGGUGAGGAAUACAUCGGAAUCUACUUUUUCGUGGGGGAUAACGUAGGGAAACUUACGCUAAUACCGCAUACGACCUACGGGUGAAAGCAGGGGAUCUUCGGACCUUGCGCGAUUGAAUGAGCCGAUGUCGGAUUAGCUAGUUGGCGGGGUAAAGGCCCACCAAGGCGACGAUCCGUAGCUGGUCUGAGAGGAUGAUCAGCCACACUGGAACUGAGACACGGUCCGGACUCCUACGGGAGGCAGCAGUGGGGAAUAUUGGACAAUGGGCGCAAGCCUGAUCCAGCCAUACCGCGUGGGUGAAGAAGGCCUUCGGGUUGUAAAGCCCUUUUGUUGGGAAAGAAAAGCAGCAGGUUAAUACCCCGCUGUUCUGACGGUACUCAAAGAAUAAGCACCGGCUAACUUCGUG
RNAcentral lists this ribosomal RNA (492 nucleotides) under uncultured bacterium. RNAcentral's name for it is "partial 16S ribosomal RNA". It matches the Rfam family "Bacterial small subunit ribosomal RNA", at positions 29 to 507 of the family's 1533-position model. The record is from RNAcentral.